Molecule: ribosomal RNA, 460 nt
Filed under: uncultured bacterium
Lineage: Bacteria
Description: partial 16S ribosomal RNA
Rfam family: Bacterial small subunit ribosomal RNA
Source: RNAcentral
CCUACGGGAGGCAGCAGUGAGGAAUAUUGGUCAAUGGACGAGAGUCUGAACCAGCCAAGUAGCGUGAAGGAUGACUGCCCUAUGGGGUGUAAACUUCUUUUAUAUGGGAAUAAAACGUUCCACGUGUGGGAUUUUGUAUGUACCAUAUGAAUAAGGAUCGGCGAACUCCGUGCCAGCAGCCGCGGUAAUACGGAGGAUCCGAGCGUUAUCCGGAUUUAUUGGGGUUAAAGGGAGCGUAGGUGGAUAGUUAAGUCAGUUGUGAAAGUUUGCGGCUCAACCGUAAAAUUGCAGUUGAAACUGGCAGUCUUGAGUACAGUAGAGGUGGGCGGAAUUCGUGGUGUAGCGGUGAAAUGCGUAGAUAUCGGGAGGAACACCAGUGGCGAAGGCGGUUUACUGGACCACAACUGACGCUGAGAAACGAAAGCGUGGGGAGCAAACAGGAUUAGAUACCCGAGUAGUC